UGGUUUUAGCAUAGUUGAGUUUUAAUUGUGGCCAAGCUCAGUCAAUAAGUCACAAGUCCAGAAAAAAAGCUGUUCCUAUUAAAUCUCCCCAGGUCCUUUUACUAAGACGGAAAAACAAGGAAUCAAAGAGGGAGGGGUUGAGGGGGGGGGAAGGAAUUAAAGCCUAGGAAUGGUAGAUAAGCUAUCCCAAAACUUCAAAACUAACACUACGAUUCUAUUUUAAUCAGCUUUUGGCUGGUACCUACUGCUAUAUCACCUAGUAUGACAUUUCGGGAUUAUCGGGACAAUGAAGGAAACUGCACAGAGGGCAAAGAAGUUGUGCUGCUGUGAAAAUGAACUUUGUAAGUAGUGAAGAUGUUACCAGCCAAGAGAGGUCUCUUUCAUGGUAAGAUAUAACUGCACCAUGGUAAAGCUGGCAGAAUUCCAGUCUCUGGUUUUUCACAGUGACAAUGGCUGAGAGCAUAAGUGCACUGUCCACAGCUUGUUAAAAUACUUGAUUGACCUACUACAAACUCAACUUUAUCAAGGAUGAAAUAGUAGGGCUACCAGAUGCAAGGCUUCUUAGUGUCCAUCGUUAACAGUCUUUCCUGUUGAAGCUUCAAUAGACAAAGUCCUAGGCCAGUAAUAGAUACAUAUCCCUGCUCAGGUGUGAUUUCUCCUUCAAUCUGAUGUACUU
RNAcentral lists this long non-coding RNA (676 nucleotides) under Rattus norvegicus (Norway rat). Its description in RNAcentral is "long non-coding RNA NONRATT009023". The record is from RNAcentral. Lineage: Eukaryota; Metazoa; Chordata; Mammalia; Rodentia; Muridae.